UACGGAGGGGGCUAGCGUUGUUCGGAAUUACUGGGCGUAAAGCGCACGUAGGCGGCUUUGUAAGUUAGAGGUGAAAGCCCAGGGCUUAACCCUGGAAUUGCCUUUAAGACUGCAUCGCUAGAAUCGUGGAGAGGUGAGUGGAAUUCCGAGUGUAGAGGUGAAAUUCGUAGAUAUUGGGAAGAACACCGGUGGCGAAGGCGGCUCUCUGGACCGAGACUGACGCUGAGGCGCGAAAGCGUGGGGAGCAAACAGG
Molecule: ribosomal RNA, 253 nt
Filed under: uncultured bacterium
Lineage: Bacteria
Description: partial 16S ribosomal RNA
Rfam family: Bacterial small subunit ribosomal RNA
Source: RNAcentral